AUGGCGCAUAACAAAUCUCCUGGCCCUGAUGGUUUUACUACUGAGUUUUAUCAUCACCUUUGGGAAUUGAUAAAAGAUGAUCUCAAACAAAUGUUUGAUGAUUUUUAUAAUGGGGUUCUAGAUAUUAAAAGACUGAAUUAUGGGAUUAUUACUCUAUAACCUAAGAGUAAAUAUGCCAACCAGAUUCAAAAAUAUAGGCCUAUAUGCUUGCUGAAUGUGAUUUUUAAAGUCUUCACCAAAGUACUAAUGAAUAGAUUAAAUUUGGUGGCUGACAUAAUAGUUUCUCUAGUUUAAACUGUCUUUAUUAAAGGUAGAUACAUCAUGGAAGGGGUUCUGGUGUUACAUGAAGCUCUAAACAGUGUGCAUACCAAAAAAUAA
RNAcentral lists this ribosomal RNA (378 nucleotides) under Triticum aestivum (bread wheat). RNAcentral describes it as "partial small subunit ribosomal RNA". Lineage: Eukaryota; Viridiplantae; Streptophyta; Magnoliopsida; Poales; Poaceae. The record is from RNAcentral.